This 980-nucleotide long non-coding RNA is filed under the name Homo sapiens (human). Its description in RNAcentral is "HSALNT0008642". The record is from RNAcentral. Lineage: Eukaryota; Metazoa; Chordata; Mammalia; Primates; Hominidae.
GCCAGCGCCAUCUUGUCUGAUCCUUACUGUACACGUGGCUGGCCAAGAGAAGAGAAGAUGGAGCGGCCAUUUUGAUCAUGCCUAGUCCCAGAAUAUAUCAGCUGUGAAAAUAAGUGAAAGAAAGAUUUUCUUAUCUCCAACAUUUCUGGGAAGGGGUGUGUCUGUGGAUUUUAUGUUACUGGAAAGAGACAAUCCAGUAGUCCACUUUGUCAGGAGUGUUUCAAACAACAUCUGUGAACCCACUGGACUUCAAGCUCCUACAGGCUAGAGAUUUGGUCUAUUUCAUCUGCAUUGUGAAAGGUCCUGGAGACUGAGAAUCAGGAAUUACUAGACUAUAAUGGAUGAGAUUUAUAAAAAAUAAGAUGAAGGUAAGCAGCUGUGCACAGCUGCUCUGCUAUAUUGGGAGGAAACUAGAACAAAGACACAAAACAAGAGUUGCAAGGGUAUAUGUACAUGUUCUGCCUGUGUUUAAGAGCCUAUCUAUGUUGCAUUUUGAGUUAUCUUGCUGGAGGAUAAGUUUGCAAGUUUGAGGCAAAAAGGCUUUGUGCUCUUGUGGUAAGAUCAUCAGGGAACAGCUCUCUGGAGGUGGUGCAGUGCAUAAGAGAGAAACUGGCUAGUGGUGGAAAUAAUACACUCCUUGGAAAAAGUAAAAGGAAAAUGUAAAAUGGAGUCUACCUUCUGGAUGCAAAGAAAUUCUCAUCAUCACGUGAUAGCAAGAUAGAAAAUAUGGUGACAACAAAAUUUUGACCAUUUAUAAAUAAUAAGUGAACUUCCAAAAAAGAAGGGAAAUGUUUGGAGACCAAAAUUAAGAGAAGCCACAAUGGUAAGAAACAUUAAGUUUACAAUUCUGCUAAAGGAAUUUGUCCAUUUUCAUAAUCUAGAACUUGCCUACAAAGUGGUAGCUGAACAAGAUCCUAGACGUCUAACCUAAGAAAGGUGGGAGGUAACUGAGAUCUCUACUUAAAUGUGAGAUCCUUGAA